RNAcentral lists this ribosomal RNA (351 nucleotides) under uncultured Atribacterota bacterium. RNAcentral's name for it is "bacterial SSU rRNA". It matches the Rfam family "Bacterial small subunit ribosomal RNA", at positions 1014 to 1382 of the family's 1533-position model. The record is from RNAcentral. Lineage: Bacteria; Pseudomonadati; Atribacterota.
GACCCUUCGGGAGCUAGCACAGGUGCUGCAUGGCUGUUGUCAGCUCGUGUCGUGAGAUGUUCGGUUAAGUCCGCUAACGAGCGCAACCCUCGCUGUGUGUUAUAUGUGUCACAUGGGACUGCCGGCCUUAAGCCGGAGGAAGUGGGGAUGAUGUCAAGUCAGCAUGGCCUUUAUGUCCUGGGCUACACACACGCUACAAUGGUCAGCACAAUGGGUCGCUAAGCCGCAAGGUGGAGCCAAUCCUCAAAGUUGGCCUCAGUUCAGAUUGUAGGCUGCAACUCGCCUGCAUGAAGAUGGAGUUGCUAGUAAACGCAGGUCAGCUAUACUGCGUUGAAUACGUUCCCGGGGCUU